GACGAACGCUGGCGGCGUGCUUAACACAUGCAAGUCGAACGGAAAGGCCCUGCUUUUGUGGGGUGCUCGAGUGGCGAACGGGUGAGUAACACGUGAGUAACCUGCCCUUGACUUUGGGAUAACUUCAGGAAACUGGGGCUAAUACCGGAUAGGAGCUCCUGCUGCAUGGUGGGGGUUGGAAAGUUUCGGCGGUUGGGGAUGGACUCGCGGCUUAUCAGCUUGUUGGUGGGGUAGUGGCUUACCAAGGCUUUGACGGGUAGCCGGCCUGAGAGGGUGACCGGCCACAUUGGGACUGCGAUACGGCCCAGAAUCCUACGGGAGGCAGAAGUGGGGAAUAUUGCACAAUGGGCGGAAGCCUGAUGCAGCAACGCCGCGUGCGGGAUGACGGCCUUCGGGUUGUAAACCGCUUUCGCCUGUGACGAAGCGUGAGUGACGGUAAUGGGUAAAGAAGCACCGGCUAACUACGUG
RNAcentral lists this ribosomal RNA (468 nucleotides) under uncultured bacterium. RNAcentral describes it as "partial 16S ribosomal RNA". It matches the Rfam family "Bacterial small subunit ribosomal RNA", at positions 28 to 507 of the family's 1533-position model. The record is from RNAcentral.